RNAcentral lists this ribosomal RNA (601 nucleotides) under uncultured Actinomycetes bacterium. RNAcentral describes it as "bacterial SSU rRNA". It matches the Rfam family "Bacterial small subunit ribosomal RNA", at positions 252 to 866 of the family's 1533-position model. The record is from RNAcentral. Lineage: Bacteria; Bacillati; Actinomycetota; Actinomycetes.
GUGAGGUAAAAGCUCACCAAGGCGUCGACGGGUAGCUGGUCUGAGAGGACGAUCAGCCACACUGGAACUGAGACACGGUCCAGACUCCUACGGGAGGCAGCAGCAGGGAAUAUUGCACAAUGGGCGAAAGCCUGACGCAGCAACGCCGCGUGAGGGAUGACUGCCUUCGGGUUGUAAACCUCUUUCAGUGGGGACGAAAUUGACGGUACCCACAGAAGAAGCACCGGCCAACUACGUGCCAGCAGCCGCGGUAAUACGUAGGGUGCAAGCAUUGUCCGGAUUUAUUGGGCGUAAAGAGCUCGUAGGCGGCUUAACAAGUCGGCCGUGAAAUACCGAGGCUCAACCUCGGGGAGCCGGUCGAAACUGUUAUAGCUAGAGUACGGUAGAGGAGAGUGGAAUUCUCGGUGUAGCGGUGGAAUGCGCAGAUAUCGAGAGGAACACCAGUAGCGAAGGCGGCUCUCUGGGCCGUUACUGACGCUGAGGGGCGAAAGCGUGGGGAGCAAACAGGAUUAGAUACCCUGGUAGUCCACGCUGUAAACGUUGGGAACUAGGUGUUGCGGUCUGAUCAAUGACUGCGGUGCCGAAGCUAACGCAUUAAGUU